RNAcentral lists this ribosomal RNA (254 nucleotides) under uncultured bacterium. RNAcentral describes it as "partial 16S ribosomal RNA". It matches the Rfam family "Bacterial small subunit ribosomal RNA", at positions 524 to 776 of the family's 1533-position model. The record is from RNAcentral.
UACGGGGGGAGCAAGCGUUGUUCGGAUUUACUGGGCGUAAAGGGCGCGUAGGCGGCCACCGCAAGUCGAUUGUGAAAUCUCCGGGCUUAACCCGGAAAGGUCAACCGAUACUGCGGGGCUAGAGUGCAGAAGGGGCAACUGGAAUUCUCGGUGUAGCGGUGAAAUGCGUAGAUAUCAGGAGGAACACCGAUGGCGAAGGCAGGUCUCUGGGCAUUAACUGACGCUGAGGAGCGAAAGCAUGGGGAGCGAACAGG